AACGCACAUUGCGCCCUCUGGUAUUCCGGGGGGCAUGCCUGUUCGAGCGUCAUUAUAACCACUCAAGCUCUCGCUUGGUAUUGGGGUUCGCGGUUUCGCGGCCCCUAAAAUCAGUGGCGGUGCCUGUCGGCUCUACGCGUAGUAAUACUCCUCGCGAUUGAGUCCGGUAGGUUUACUUGCCAGCAACCCCUAAUUUUUUUUAAGGUUGACCUCGGAUCAGGUAGGGAUACCCGCUGAACUUAA
Molecule: unclassified non-coding RNA, 243 nt
Filed under: uncultured Helotiales
Lineage: Eukaryota; Fungi; Ascomycota; Leotiomycetes; Helotiales
Description: sequence contains ITS2
Rfam family: 5.8S ribosomal RNA (bases 1-52)
Source: RNAcentral